UAGGGAAUAUUGCGCAAUGGGCGAAAGCCUGACGCAGCGACGCCGCGUGGGUGAUGAAGGCCUUCGGGUCGUAAAGCCCUGUCGAGGGGGACGAACCGGUUCCGGCUAAAUAGGUCGGGAUCCUGACGGUACCCCUAAAGGAAGCACCGGCUAACUCCGUGCCAGCAGCCGCGGUAAUACGGAGGGUGCGAGCGUUGUUCGGAAUCACUGGGCGUAAAGCGCGUGUAGGCGGUCCGCUAAGUCUGGUGUGAAAGCCCGGGGCUCACCCCCGGAAGGGCACUGGAAACUGGCGAACUAGAGUCCCGGAGAGGAGGGUGGAAUUCCUGGUGUAGCGGUGAAAUGCGUAGAUAUCAGGAGGAACACCGGUGGCGAAGGCGGCCCUCUGGACGGUGACUGACGCUGAGACGCGAAAGCGUGGGGAGCAAACAGGAUUAGAUACCCCCGUAGUCC
RNAcentral lists this ribosomal RNA (450 nucleotides) under uncultured bacterium. RNAcentral describes it as "bacterial SSU rRNA". It matches the Rfam family "Bacterial small subunit ribosomal RNA", at positions 355 to 796 of the family's 1533-position model. The record is from RNAcentral.